UACGGAGGGAGCUAGCGUUGUUCGGAAUUACUGGGCGUAAAGCGCACGUAGGCGGACUCUUAAGUCGGUGGUGAAAUCCUGGAGCUCAACUCCAGAACUGCCUUCGAUACUGGGAGUCUCGAGUCCGGGAGAGGUGAGUGGAACUGCGAGUGUAGAGGUGAAAUUCGUAGAUAUUCGCAAGAACACCAGUGGCGAAGGCGGCUCACUGGCCCGGUACUGACGCUGAGGUGCGAAAGCGUGGGGAGCAAACAGG
Molecule: ribosomal RNA, 253 nt
Filed under: uncultured bacterium
Lineage: Bacteria
Description: partial 16S ribosomal RNA
Rfam family: Bacterial small subunit ribosomal RNA
Source: RNAcentral